AGAGUUUGAUCCUGGCUCAGAUUGAACGCUGGCGGCAGGCCUAACACAUGCAAGUCGAACGGUAGCACAGAGGAGCUUGCUCCUUGGGUGACGAGUGGCGGACGGGUGAGUAAUGUCUGGGAAACUGCCCGAUGGAGGGGGAUAACUACUGGAAACGGUAGCUAAUACCGCAUAACGUCGCAAGACCAAAGAGGGGGACCUUCGGGCCUCUUGCCAUCGGAUGUGCCCAGAUGGGAUUAGCUAGUAGGUGGGGUAACGGCUCACCUAGGCGACGAUCCCUAGCUGGUCUGAGAGGAUGACCAGCCACACUGGAACUGAGACACGGUCCAGACUCCUACGGGAGGCAGCAGUGGGGAAUAUUGCACAAUGGGCGCAAGCCUGAUGCAGCCAUGCCGCGUGUAUGAAGAAGGCCUUCGGGUUGUAAAGUACUUUCAGCGAGGAGGAAGGCGUUGUGGUUAAUAACCGCAGCGAUUGACGUUACUCGCAGAAGAAGCACCGGCUAACUCCGUGCCAGCCGCCGCGGUAAAAGGG
Molecule: ribosomal RNA, 531 nt
Filed under: uncultured Enterobacterales bacterium
Lineage: Bacteria; Pseudomonadati; Pseudomonadota; Gammaproteobacteria; Enterobacterales
Description: bacterial SSU rRNA
Rfam family: Bacterial small subunit ribosomal RNA
Source: RNAcentral